RNAcentral lists this ribosomal RNA (347 nucleotides) under uncultured bacterium. Its description in RNAcentral is "partial 16S ribosomal RNA". It matches the Rfam family "Bacterial small subunit ribosomal RNA", at positions 338 to 696 of the family's 1533-position model. The record is from RNAcentral.
CCUACGGGUGGCAGCAGUCGAGAAUCAUUCACAAUGGGGGAAACCCUGAUGGUGCGACGCCGCGUGGGGGAAUGAAGAUCUUCGGAUUGUAAACCCCUGUCAUGUGGGAGCAAAUGAAAAAGAUAGUACCACAAGCGGAAGAGACUGCUAACUCUGUGCCAGCAGCAGAGUUAAUACAGAGGUCUCAAUCGUUGUUCGGAAUCACUGGGCGUAACGCAUGCGUAGGCUGUUUCGUAGUUCGUGUGUGAAGGGCGCGGGCUGAACCAGCGGACGGCACAGGGUACUGCGAGACUAGAGUAAUGGAGGGGGAACCGGAAUUCUCGGUGUAGCAGUGAAAGGCGUAGAUA